AUCUCUCCUCUACCCCAAUCUUCUGCCCUCUCCUCUGCUUCCCCGGCCUCCCCCUUCUGACUCUCCUCUCCCCUCUUUGUAUCCCCCAUCUUGCCUCCCUGCUUCCCACAUCCGACCACCCGACCUCUCUCCUCAGACGUGGACGAAUGUCGCGAGCGAGGCCCAGCCCUGUGCGGGUCGCAGCGCUGUGAGAACUCUCCCGGCUCCUACCGCUGUGUCCGGGACUGCGAUCCUGGGUACCACGCGGGCCCCGAGGGCACCUGUGACGAUGUGGACGAAUGCCGGAACCGGUCCUUCUGCGGUGCCCACGCCGUGUGCCAGAACCUGCCCGGCUCCUUCCAGUGCCUCUGUGACCAGGGUUACGAGGGGGCACGGGAUGGGCGUCACUGCGUGGAUGUGAACGAGUGUGAAACACUACAGGGUGUAUGUGGAGCUGCCCUGUGUGAAAAUGUCGAAGGCUCCUUCCUCUGUGUCUGCCCCAACAGCCCGGAGGAGUUUGACCCCAUGACUGGACGCUGUGUUCCCCCACGAACUUCUGCUGACGUGGACGAAUGUCAGCUCUUCCGAGACCAGGUGUGCAAGAGUGG
This 587-nucleotide small RNA is filed under the name Pan troglodytes (chimpanzee). RNAcentral's name for it is "retained intron". The record is from RNAcentral. Lineage: Eukaryota; Metazoa; Chordata; Mammalia; Primates; Hominidae.